This 468-nucleotide ribosomal RNA is filed under the name uncultured bacterium. RNAcentral describes it as "partial 16S ribosomal RNA". It matches the Rfam family "Bacterial small subunit ribosomal RNA", at positions 28 to 507 of the family's 1533-position model. The record is from RNAcentral.
GACGAACGCUGGCGGCGUGCUUAACACAUGCAAGUCGAACGGAAAGGCCCUGCUUUUGUGGGGUGCUCGAGUGGCGAACGGGUGAGUAACACGUGAGUAACCUGCCCUUGACUUUGGGAUAACUUCAGGAAACUGGGGCUAAUACCGGAUAGGAGCUCCUGCUGCACGGGGGGGGUUGGAAAGUUUCGGCGGUUGGGGAUGGACUCGCGGCUUAUCAGCUUGUUGGUGGGGUAGUGGCUUACCAAGGCUUUGACGGGUAGCCGGCCUGAGAGGGUGACCGGCCACAUUGGGACUGCGAUACGGCCCAGACUCCUGCGGGAGGCAGCAGUGGGGAAUAUUGCACAAUGGGCGGAAGCCUGAUGCCGCAACGCCGCGUGCGGGAUGACGGCCUUCGGGUUGUAAACCGCUUUCGCCUGUGGCGAAGCGUGAGUGACGGUAAUGGGUAAAGAAGCACCGGCUAACUACGUG